GCCGGCGGGAGCGGCGGAGCCGGAGGGCGCUGCCUCCGGCUCCGUUUGGGGCAUUUUCCUCAAAUUCCUCAAUUUUCCUGGCUCCGGGACCCAAAUCGGGAUUUUUCUUCCUUUUUCUCCCUUUAUCCUUCUUUUUUUCAUUAUUUUUCUAUUUUCUAUUUUUUUUCUGAUUUUCUUCUAUUUUCUCUCACUUUUUUUGUUCUAUUUUCUGUCUUUCUGCCUUGUUUUCCUCUCUUCUUUCUGCUCCUCCCUUGCUCAACUGCCGACUCCAUCUUCACUCUUCAGUUUUCCUGCUCUUCCCUCAAAAUUGGCUCCUCUCAAUCCAUCCUGAUCCUGAAAAUGCCGCAUUUCACCCCAAACCGGCCGCCCCCGUCUGCGCUGCCCGGCCCGGCCCCACAUGGGGACAAAACGACAUUUUUAAAAAGCUUUAAAAGCUUUUUUUAAAAAUAAAAUUGAAUUUAGGAGCUUUUUUAGCA
RNAcentral lists this long non-coding RNA (476 nucleotides) under Junco hyemalis (dark-eyed junco). RNAcentral's name for it is "lncRNA (ENSJHYG00000016009.1)". The record is from RNAcentral. Lineage: Eukaryota; Metazoa; Chordata; Aves; Passeriformes; Passerellidae.